GACGAACGCUGGCGGCGGGCUUAACACAUGCAAGUCGAACGGAAAGGCCCUGCUUUUGUGGGGUGCUCGAGUGGCGAACGGGUGAGUAACACGUGAGUAACCUGCCCUUGACUUUGGGGUAACUUCAGGAAACUGGGGCUAAUACCAGAUAGGAGCUCCUGCUGCAUGGUGGGGGUUGGAAAUUUUCGGCGGGUGGGGAUGGACUCGCGGCUGAUCAGCUUGGUGGUGGGGGAGCGGUUUACCAAGGCUUUGACGGGUAGGCGGCCUGAGAGGGUGACCGGCGACAUUGGGCCUGAGAUACGGCCCAGACUCCUACGGGGGGCAGCAGUGGGGAAUCUUGCACAAUGGGAGGACGUCUGAUGCAGCAACGCCGCGUUCGUGAUGACGGCCUUCGGGUUGUAAACCGCUUUCGCCUGUGACGAAGCGUGAGUGACGGUAAUGGGUAAAGAAGCACCGGCUAACUACGUG
RNAcentral lists this ribosomal RNA (468 nucleotides) under uncultured bacterium. RNAcentral describes it as "partial 16S ribosomal RNA". It matches the Rfam family "Bacterial small subunit ribosomal RNA", at positions 28 to 507 of the family's 1533-position model. The record is from RNAcentral.